GUCGGCAGCUAGCUCUCUGCAACUCUCACAUGGUCACCCACUGAAGCUAAGCAGGGCUGCGCCCGGUCAGUACCUGGAUGGGAGACCACAUGGGAAAGCUAGGUUGCUGCCGGAA
RNAcentral lists this ribosomal RNA (115 nucleotides) under Danio rerio (zebrafish). The record is from RNAcentral. Lineage: Eukaryota; Metazoa; Chordata; Actinopteri; Cypriniformes; Danionidae.